CUACUCUUGACAUCCAGAGAACUUAGCAGAGAUGCUUUGGUGCCUUCGGGAACUCUGAGACAGGUGCUGCAUGGCUGUCGUCAGCUCGUGUUGUGAAAUGUUGGGUUAAGUCCCGCAACAAGCGCAACCCUUAUCCUUUGUUGCCAGCGGUUCGGCCGGGAACUCAAAGGAGACUGCCAGUGAUAAACUGGAGGAAGGUGGGAAUGACGUCAAGUCAUCAUGGCCCUUACGAGUAGGGCUACACACGUGCUACAAUGGCAUAUACAAAGAGAAGCGACCUCGCGAGAGCAAGCGGACCUCAUAAAGUAUGUCGUAGUCCGGAUUGGAGUCUGCGACUCGACUCCAUGAAGUUGGAAUCGCUAGUAAUCGUAGAUCAGAAUGCUACGGUGAAUACGUUCCC
Molecule: ribosomal RNA, 400 nt
Filed under: uncultured soil bacterium
Lineage: Bacteria
Description: bacterial SSU rRNA
Rfam family: Bacterial small subunit ribosomal RNA
Source: RNAcentral